Molecule: long non-coding RNA, 1472 nt
Organism: Poeciliopsis prolifica (blackstripe livebearer)
Lineage: Eukaryota; Metazoa; Chordata; Actinopteri; Cyprinodontiformes; Poeciliidae
Exons: 3
Source: RefSeq, a predicted model, not a curated record
AACUGACCAGAGAACUCAUUGUUUGAACUCUGCUACCCAGCAGAAGAGGUUUAGGGGAGCUUUUCUUCUUUUUCUAAUGAAGAUAUGAGAAUUUCGGCUGUGUUGUUGAGGAUAUAAGGUCCAAGAUCUCUGCCGUCGUCUGCUCCUAAUGACAACCGAGAUUUGGCUUCAGGGUUCUUCUAACUGCAGCUCCAUUAUGAAGCCUGUUGUGCCCUGAAAAACCUGCUUUCUCUUCUGGUCUCUGCGGUGCUCUGAGCUUCUGUGCUUUGGACAUCUUUCAGCAAAUAUUGAGACAGGGUAACUGUCUGAAAAUAAGAAUUCGGUGGUAAUUCCAACUCGACCGACCCCGACCGGUGACCAGCUGGAUGGAAACUCAAAAAUCGUGUCUUUUUGCAGUCACUGAACCAGACCGAAGCACACCACAACACUCUUCUGUGUGGAAGUUGUUACUGAUAAUGGAGAACUCCAAGAUGUCCACUGUCAGUACCAAGAUACAAACACACAAAUAAUGAUGAGAUAAGCAUCACUUACCACCAUCCCGGCUCUCCGCGGGUGCAUCUUGUGCAGGGUUGGUGAUGGCGGUCGGAGGGCGGGCAGCACUCUCCAGUUCAUGCCUGACUGACCUUGUACAGUGCAGCAAGGACAGAGCAGCCAGGCAGCAGAGCAUCAUUACCAUCAUGGAACCAGGAGGAGGGGGGAUCAUGGUGCCGACGAGCCGGUCGAGCUCAUGACGGUUCCUCACAGUCAGCACAGCUGCCCUCUCCGUGCAGGGAUUCACCGACUUCCAAACCUCAGUCUUUCACGGCACGAGAAAGUCUGCAACGCCACAUUAUUUUCUUUACAACAGUCUUUUUGCAUGCUGCGCUAUGUGGCACGUUUAUCCUGCGGGGAUUCUGUAUUAUUUUCUGAAUUAAAAGCAGAGUUGGAUGCCUAAAGUGUUUUAGAAGAAUCCAGUUGCAAUCGUAAUAUGAUCAGAGAUAACAGACGAGAUGAGAGGCGCAUAUGCUAUCACAAAAUCCCAAAGAAUAUGGUUUCUGUUGCACUGCAGGAGAAAACAUCAGCCUCCCAGAGUCUGCAUGCUGUUUCUAUGAGCUUUCAAAUAAGAGCAGAGAGUUUGAGUGCCAGAACGUCCUUCUGCAACGCUUCCGGUUUGAUUUCCCCUGGCUCUGAGGCAAACGUUUUUCAGUUGGCACAAAGGUAAUGUUUUCUUGUGCAACGCUUUGCAGAAAAUAUUCAUACUUGAUCAACUUUUGCAGAUUUAUUCAUGGUGCAGUCGUAGAUGCUAUUGUGUUUUUAUCUGGACUAUUUGUGAUAGACCGAAACAAACAAACACAUGAUGAUGAUGCAGUUAAUUCUUUUUACAAAUAUAAUUCUUUGUGGAUUUGUAUUCAUUGUUUUGGAGAUUCUUAUUUUGUUUUUGUCUUUUUGGGGAGGGGGUGGGGGGGGGGUGUUGUGCUACAAUUACUGCUAAA